Molecule: ribosomal RNA, 253 nt
Filed under: uncultured bacterium
Lineage: Bacteria
Also listed under: 1 other name
Description: partial 16S ribosomal RNA
Rfam family: Bacterial small subunit ribosomal RNA
Source: RNAcentral
GACGAACCGUGCGAACGUUGUUCGGAAUCACUGGGCUUAAAGGGCGCGUAGGCGGUUCUCCAAGUCAGGGGUGAAAUCCUGCGGCUUAACCGUAGAAGUGCCUUUGAUACUGGAGAUCUUGAGGGAGGUAGGGGUCCGUGGAACUUCUGGUGGAGCGGUGAAAUGCGUUGAUAUCAGAAGGAACGCCGGUGGCGAAAGCGACGGACUGGAUCUCUUCUGACGCUGAGGCGCGAAAGCUAGGGGAGCAAACGGG